CGGGAGGCAGCAGUUAGGAAUCUUCGGCAAUGGGGGAAACCCUGACCGAGCGACACUGCUUGAAGGAUGAAGGUUUUCGGAUCGUAAACUUCUGAACGAGGGACGAAAAAUGGCGGUACCUCGCUAAUAGCACCGGCUAACUCCGUGCCAGCAGCCGCGGUAAUACGGAGGGUGCAAGCGUUAUCCGGAAUCACUGGGCGUAAAGGGCGCGUAGGCGGUUUGUUAAGUCCGAUGUUAAAGACCGAGGCUCAACCUCGACACGGCGUUGGAUACUGGCAAGCUGGACGGUUGGAGAGGAAGGUAGAAUUACCAGUGUAGCGGUGGAAUGCGUAGAUACUGGUAGGAAUACCCAUUGCGAAGGCAGCCUUCUGGACAACACGUGACGCUGAGGCGCGAAAGUGUGGGGAGCAAACCGGAUUAGAUACCCGGGUAGUCCACACCCUAAAC
Molecule: ribosomal RNA, 447 nt
Filed under: uncultured bacterium
Lineage: Bacteria
Description: bacterial SSU rRNA
Rfam family: Bacterial small subunit ribosomal RNA
Source: RNAcentral